UUAAUUCGAUUAUUUGCCUUAUA
Molecule: non-coding RNA, 23 nt
Filed under: Arabidopsis thaliana (thale cress)
Lineage: Eukaryota; Viridiplantae; Streptophyta; Magnoliopsida; Brassicales; Brassicaceae
Source: RNAcentral